Molecule: ribosomal RNA, 253 nt
Filed under: uncultured bacterium
Lineage: Bacteria
Description: partial 16S ribosomal RNA
Rfam family: Bacterial small subunit ribosomal RNA
Source: RNAcentral
UACGUAGGGUGCGAGCGUUGUCCGGAAUUAUUGGGCGUAAAGAGCUUGUAGGCGGUUUGUCGCGUCUGCCGUGAAAAUCCGAGGCUCAACCUCGGACUUGCGGUGGGUACGGGCGGACUAGAGUGUGGUAGGGGAGACUGGAAUUCCUGGUGUAGCGGUGAAAUGCGCAGAUAUCAGGAGGAACACCGAUGGCGAAGGCAGGUCUCUGGGCCACUACUGACGCUGAGGAGCGAAAGCGUGGGGAGCGAACAGG